This 205-nucleotide ribosomal RNA is filed under the name uncultured bacterium. RNAcentral's name for it is "partial 16S ribosomal RNA". It matches the Rfam family "Bacterial small subunit ribosomal RNA", at positions 568 to 773 of the family's 1533-position model. The record is from RNAcentral.
CUCGUAGGUGGCCAACUAAGUCAGACGUGAAAUCCCUCGGCUUAACCGGGGAACUGCAUCUGAUACUGGAUGGCUUGAGAUUGGGAGAGGGACGCGGAAUUCCAGGUGUAGCGGUGAAAUGCGUAGAUAUCUGGAGGAACACCGGUGGCGAAGGCGGCGUCCUGGACCAACACUGACACUGAGGAGCGAAAGCCAGGGAGCAACG